RNAcentral lists this unclassified non-coding RNA (2680 nucleotides) under Leishmania donovani. RNAcentral describes it as "gene:LdHU3.18.1440(CDS-product:Ras-related_protei n_Rab5A_putative)". The record is from RNAcentral. Lineage: Eukaryota; Euglenozoa; Kinetoplastea; Trypanosomatida; Trypanosomatidae.
CCCAGUCCAGUUUCGACAACAAAAGUUGCAUCUUCUCAGCCCACCUUCCCCCCUGUACAACCGCAACAAGGAGCAACCUAUCAAUCCACUUCGUUCGGCGACUCACGUUUCCGUCCGUGUCUCUCUUUCUCCCCCGCUCUCCAUAUUUCCUGUGCUCCCUUCACAGACACACACGCACGCACGCACACAUCUCCAUGCAUAUACAUUUAUAUAUGUAUAGGCACUUUGUUUUCUCUAGUAUUUGCUGAGUUUCCUCUUUUGUUUUCACUGUGCGGUGUGCAUCCCCCCUUGCUUCAUCCGAAAGGAUUCACACACACACACACACACACAGACGCUGACAUUCUCGUUGAGUUCACGCACAGCGCUGCGCUUUGAGCUGAGAUACGUUUGAGCGCAAAGGAGGUCACGCCGCAAGCACGGUAGGCGAGCUUUACGCAUACACUCACACUUGCUCUACUAUUCCUGCUCACCGCGAAAGAACAUCUACACCGAAAACGCGACAUCACCUACAAAAUGAACACCCACCCACCUCAGCUGAUGGAGGCGACGUCCGCGAAGAUAGUGAUGCUCGGUGAGUCCGGUGCUGGCAAGAGCUCCAUCGCGCUCCGCUUUACGCGCAACGAGUUCUUAGCCAACCAGGAGACCACCAUCGGUGCUGCCUUUCUGUCCAAGACGGUGAUGAUACCGCCACCGCGCGGAGUCGCGGCUGCCCCCGGCGGUGCCACCUCUGCUCAAACUCUUCAGCAACAGAUGCGAGCACUGAAGUACGAAAUUUGGGAUACGGCGGGGCAGGAGCGCUUCCGCUCUCUCGCCCCGAUUUACUACCGCGGCGCCUGCGGUGCUCUUGUCGUGUAUGAUAUCACGAAUAGCGAGAGCCUCAAGAAGGCUCAGACUUGGAUCAAAGAGCUCCGAGCAAACGCAGACCCGUCACUCAUUAUUGUGCUCGUCGGAAACAAGAAGGACCUGGAGUCUCUGCGGCAGGUGUCCUUCGAGGAUGGCCAGCGUCUCGCUGCUGAGGAGCAGCUCGCCGCCUUCUACGAGGCGUCUGCAAAGGACAACAACAAUGUGGAGCAGGUGUUUCUCGAUUUAGCUGCCAAGCUCCUCGACCAGGGCUUGGGCAACCGUGGCGGGACUGCUGGAGGUGCACGCGGCGGCGUGGUUGCACCGCGCGGCGAGCGCGUGGAACAGAGCAACGAAUCGGUCUCCCAGUCUACCUGCUGCUGAUCCCCUCUCCGGACUACCUUCGUGUUGCCAUCCUCCUCUCUCCUCCUCUCCCUCCUCUGUGGCGUUGUUUGUUCUCGAAGAAGCAACGUCAAAGGGUCGAUGCAACCAUACAAGGAACGGAAGAGGAAGAGAGAGAGAGAGCUGCACAGCACAGACGAAUUCCCAGCUGAGUGCACCUCAGCUGAGCGCGACGCAAUGCGGAUUCCGCUGCCGCGUUCUCCACGGCCUAGAAUCGCCUUUUCUUGUGCUUUUGAUCCCUUCCUCUGUUUUUUAUAUGUUACUUGCCCUGCGCGCUCACCGCCCCUUUUCGUUUUUGACUUUGUCGGUGGCUUUGACUGCUGUGUGUGCUUUUCCCCUUUCUCUCCCUCUCCCUUAUCUGUGAUUUGCGCCUUUGCUCUGUCGACACCAUCCACGUAUGACAGAAUCAGCUGCUGAGGUGCACGCCGCAGCGCAUGCGCACGAACGGAAACGCCAAGACACCAGCCCUCGUCUCUUUUGGUUUCCUUUUGUUUUCCGGUGCUUCCAGCUGCUGCUGUUGUGCCCGACACUCCUGCCUGCACGUGUGGGCUAUACAAAAACAAGCGCGCAAACAUACACAUAGUGAAACUCGGCGCGCGUGCACGAAGUUCCUUGGGUAAAGACGUAGCCAGCAGCAACCGAGCGUGACUUUCGGAUUCAAGGCCGCGGCUUUCUUUCUCUCUCUCCUUGCUUUGUCCUCUACGCGUAUAGCACGACUCUCUUACACAUUUCUCUGAGGCUCGAUUAGUCUUGCGCGUGUGCGCCACACAUGCCAACAAGAGACAUACAACCGCACCCACACACGCACAUGCUCACAGACGCGUUGCGGUUAUGAGAAACGAAAAAUAGGAACGACAAAGCGGGCCAGGGUGUGGGGAUCGACAGUGGGUCUCAGCACUGUGCCGUUUAUUCGCUCCUCUUCUCCUCUCUCUCUGCCCUCACCCUUGCAUGCUCGCCAAUGGACGUGCUGUCCACUUGACCCUUGUAUGUGUGUUGUCUCUGCUCGCACGUUGCUUCGUCUUGAGCGACUGUUCAAAGGAAGAAGGCAGUGCCAUGUUGCCAGCACUGCCAAGCGGGGUCUGCGCUACGCUACCGAGAUGAUUGCUGUGCAGACAUGCCCAGGCAACCGAACAAAGACGAAUAGUAGUACAAAGAAAAGCACUGGCCACGGCGACGCCAUCGACACGGAAGAGGAGGAGCCGCGGAGAGCGGUAGAGGGGAUGGUGGGAAACAGUAGAAGAAACAGUGCCCCAUCUUAUUCAUUUUUCUUUUUGCCUUGGCGGAUCAACUGCUUUCGUUUAUGCUUUUCGGUGCUGCUGCAUGCUUGCUCGAUAAGCGUUUCUCUGCUACAACCCCCUCCCUCUUACGCUCUUCUUCCGUUUUUUUUUUCGUAUCGCGCUGUGUCUUUGUGCUUCUCUUUCUAUGAUGGCUGUCUGAG